Molecule: ribosomal RNA, 774 nt
Filed under: uncultured bacterium
Lineage: Bacteria
Description: bacterial SSU rRNA
Rfam family: Bacterial small subunit ribosomal RNA
Source: RNAcentral
ACCUUCCGUACACUCAGGGAUAGCCUUUCGAAAGAAAGAUUAAUACCCGAUGGUAUGAUGAGAUUGCAUGAUAGCAUCAUUAAAGAUUUAUCGGUGUACGAUGGGGAUGCGUUCCAUUAGGUAGUAGGCGGGGUAACGGCCCACCUAGCCGACGAUGGAUAGGGGUUCUGAGAGGAAGGUCCCCCACAUUGGAACUGAGACACGGUCCAAACUCCUACGGGAGGCAGCAGUGAGGAAUAUUGGUCAAUGGACGAGAGUCUGAACCAGCCAAGUAGCGUGAAGGAUGAAGGUCCUACGGAUUGUAAACUUCUUUUAUAAGGGAAUAAAACCUCCCACGUGUGGGAGCUUGUAUGUACCUUAUGAAUAAGCAUCGGCUAACUCCGUGCCAGCAGCCGCGGUAAUACGGAGGAUGCGAGCGUUAUCCGGAUUUAUUGGGUUUAAAGGGAGCGCAGACGGGUCGUUAAGUCAGCUGUGAAAGUUUGGGGCUCAACCUUAAAAUUGCAGUUGAUACUGGCGUCCCUGAGUGCGGUUGAGGUGUGCGGAAUUCGUGGUGUAGCGGUGAAAUGCUUAGAUAUCACGAAGAACUCCGAUUGCGAAGGCAGCACACUAAGCCGUAACUGACGUUCAUGCUCGAAAGUGUGGGUAUCAAACAGGAUUAGAUACCCUGGUAGUCCACACGGUAAACGAUGGAUACUCGCUGUUGGCGAUAUACAGUCAGCGGCUUAGCGAAAGCGUUAAGUAUCCCACCUGGGGAGUACGCCGGCAACGGUGAAA